UACAGGGGGUGCAAACGUUGCUCGGAAUCAUUGGGCGUAAAGCGCACGUAGGCGGUUCGUUAUGUCGGAUGUGAAAGCCCUUGGCUUAACCGAGGAAGUGCAUCCGAAACUGGCGAGCUAGAGUACGAAAGAGGAUCGCGGAAUUCCCGGUGUAGAGGUGAAAUUCGUAGAUAUCGGGAGGAACACCGGUGGCGAAGGCGGCGACCUGGUUCGAUACUGACACUGAGGUGCGAAAGCGUGGGGAGCAAACAGG
RNAcentral lists this ribosomal RNA (253 nucleotides) under uncultured bacterium. RNAcentral describes it as "partial 16S ribosomal RNA". It matches the Rfam family "Bacterial small subunit ribosomal RNA", at positions 524 to 776 of the family's 1533-position model. The record is from RNAcentral.